AGUGAACGCUGGCGGUAGGCCUAACACAUGCAAGUCGAACGGCAGCACAGUAAGAGCUUGCUCUUACGGGUGGCGAGUGGCGGACGGGUGAGGAAUACAUCGGAAUCUACUUUUUCGUGGGGGAUAACGUAGGGAAACUUACGCUAAUACCGCAUACGACCUACGGGUGAAAGCAGGGGAUCUUCGGACCUUGCGCGAUUGAAUGAGCCGAUGUCGGAUUAGCUAGUUGGCGGGGUAAAGGCCCACCAAGGCGACGAUCCGUAGCUGGUCUGAGAGGAUGAUCAGCCACACUGGAACUGAGACACGGUCCAGACUCCUACGGGAGGCAUCAGUGGGGAAUAUUGGACAAUGGGCGCAAGCCUGAUCCAGCCAUACCGCGUGGGUGAAGAAGGCCUUCGGGUUGUAAAGCCCUUUUGUUGGGAAAGAAAAGCAGCAGGUUAAUACCCCGCUGUUCUGACGGUGCCCAAAGAAUAAGCACCGGCUAACUUCGUG
Molecule: ribosomal RNA, 492 nt
Filed under: uncultured bacterium
Lineage: Bacteria
Description: partial 16S ribosomal RNA
Rfam family: Bacterial small subunit ribosomal RNA
Source: RNAcentral